GAAAAGUUCAAAAAGAAAGUAAGGCCAGGGUUGUUCGUGAAGGGAAAGAACGCCGUAGACUGUGGGCUGAAAAGAAAACACCACGCCCAUCUAAAAAGGGUGAAAUUGUCGAAGAUUUAGCAGAACCCCCUAGAGAUAAUGAUCAAAUUAUCAAGUUGGGAAUGCUUCCUAGCAAUAUUGUCCAACUGCUUGUAGACCGUG
RNAcentral lists this unclassified non-coding RNA (201 nucleotides) under Hevea brasiliensis (rubber tree). Lineage: Eukaryota; Viridiplantae; Streptophyta; Magnoliopsida; Malpighiales; Euphorbiaceae. The record is from RNAcentral.